Molecule: small nuclear RNA, 82 nt
Filed under: Balearica regulorum gibbericeps (East African grey crowned-crane)
Lineage: Eukaryota; Metazoa; Chordata; Aves; Gruiformes; Gruidae
Description: Balearica pavonina gibbericeps U2 spliceosomal RNA
Rfam family: U2 spliceosomal RNA
About the family: U2 is a small nuclear RNA (snRNA) component of the spliceosome (involved in pre-mRNA splicing). Complementary binding between U2 snRNA (in an area lying towards the 5' end but 3' to hairpin I) and the branchpoint sequence (BPS) of the intron results the bulging out of an unpaired adenosine, on the BPS, which initiates a nucleophilic attack at the intronic 5' splice site, thus starting the first of two transesterification reactions that mediate splicing.
Source: Rfam by way of RNAcentral
AUCGCUUCUUGGCCUUUUGGCUAAGAUCAUGUGUAGUAUCUGUUCUUAUCAGUUUAAACUACUUUUUCUUUUGACACCAUCU